RNAcentral lists this ribosomal RNA (500 nucleotides) under uncultured bacterium. Its description in RNAcentral is "bacterial SSU rRNA". It matches the Rfam family "Bacterial small subunit ribosomal RNA", at positions 25 to 518 of the family's 1533-position model. The record is from RNAcentral.
CAGGAUGAACGCUAGCGGCAGGCUUAACACAUGCAAGUCGAGGGGCAGCGCGAGUAGCAAUACUUGGCGGCGACCGGCGCAAGGGUGCGUAACGCGUGAGCAACAUGCCCGUAUCAGGGGGAUAAUCCAGGGAAACUUGGUCUAAUACCCCAUAGUAAUUUUUGUAAGGCAUCUUAUAAGAUUUAAAGCUUUGGUGGAUACGGAUUGGCUCGCGUGACAUUAGCUGGAUGGUAAGGUAACGGCUUACCAUGGCUAUGAUGUCUAGGGGUUCUGAGAGGAAGGUCCCCCACACUGGAACUGAGACACGGUCCAGACUCCUACGGGAGGCAGCAGUGAGGAAUAUUGGACAAUGGAUGGAAAUCUGAUCCAGCCAUGCCGCGUGAAGGAAAGAAGGUCCUAUGGAUUGUAAACUUCUUUUGUAUGGGAGCAAUAAGGCCUACGAGUAGGUUGAUGAGAGUACCAUACGAAUAAGCACCGGCUAACUCCGUGCCAGCAGCAGC